RNAcentral lists this non-coding RNA (213 nucleotides) under Faecalibacterium. The record is from RNAcentral. Lineage: Bacteria; Bacillati; Bacillota; Clostridia; Eubacteriales; Oscillospiraceae.
CUGAACAGAAAAACAGCAGGUGCCUUUUGCCGAUGCACUGCACGGCGGAAAGGGUAAAAGGGAAGCGGGUGCAGAUCCCGCACGAUCUCGUCACUGUGAUAAGGGAGUCCGCAUCAGGGUGCUUUGCACCAGCCACUGGAGCUUUUGCUCUGGGAAGGAGAUGACGGGCGGCGAUCUUUCAGUCAGGAAACCUGCCUGCUGUUGGUACGGGGG